GACGAACGCUGGCGGCGUGCUUAACACAUGCAAGUCGAACGGAAAGGCCCUGCUUGCAGGGUACUCGAGUGGCGAACGGGUGAGUAACACGUGGGUGAUCUGCCCUGCACUUCGGGAUAAGCCUGGGAAACUGGGUCUAAUACCGGAUAGGAGCCAUUUUUAGUGUGAUGGUUGGAAAGUUUUUUCGGUGUAGGAUGAGCUCGCGGCCUAUCAGCUUGUUGGUGGGGUAAUGGCCUACCAAGGCGGCGACGGGUAGCCGGCCUGAGAGGGUGGACGGCCACAUUGGGACUGAGAUACGGCCCAGACUCCUACGGGAGGCAGCUGUGGGGAAUAUUGCACAAUGGGCGCAAGCCUGAUGCAGCGACGCCGCGUGGGGGAUGACGGCCUUCGGGUUGUAAACUCCUUUCGCUAGGGACGAAGCUUUUUGUGACGGUACCUAGAUAAGAAGCACCGGCUAACUACGUG
Molecule: ribosomal RNA, 465 nt
Filed under: uncultured bacterium
Lineage: Bacteria
Description: partial 16S ribosomal RNA
Rfam family: Bacterial small subunit ribosomal RNA
Source: RNAcentral